CGGGACGGGUGAGUAAUGCUUGGGAAUCUAGCUUAUGAGGGGGAGUAACUACGGGAAACUGUAGCUAAUACCGCGUAAUAUCGGAAGAUUAAAGUGUGGGACCUUCGGGCCACAUGCCAUAGGAUGAGCCCAAGUGGGAUUAGGUAGUUGGUGAGGUAAAGGCUCACCAAGCCGACGAUCUCUAGCUGGUCUGAGAGGAUGACCAGCCACACUGGGACUGAGACACGGCCCAG
This 233-nucleotide ribosomal RNA is filed under the name uncultured bacterium. RNAcentral describes it as "partial 16S ribosomal RNA". It matches the Rfam family "Bacterial small subunit ribosomal RNA", at positions 100 to 334 of the family's 1533-position model. The record is from RNAcentral.